Molecule: RNA transcript, 1746 nt
Organism: Triticum aestivum (bread wheat)
Lineage: Eukaryota; Viridiplantae; Streptophyta; Magnoliopsida; Poales; Poaceae
Exons: 3
Source: RefSeq, a predicted model, not a curated record
CGAUUCCCCUCCUCUCCUCACUCACUCUGAAAUCCCUAGCUCGCCCGCGCCGCUCUUCCUCUGGCCCGCGCCGCUCUCCCUCUCGCCCACGCCGCUCUUCCUCUGGCCCGUGCCGCUCUCCCUCUCACCCACGCCGCUCGCCUGCGUCUACGUCGCCGCUUCUCCCUUUCGCCCGCGCCGCCUCUCCCUCUCGCCGGCGUCGCAUGCGCCACCUUCUCCUGCUCAAGCCAAAGCUGGCUUUUUUACUGAAGUCCAGGAAGAGCAGCAGUAGUGCGGGGCAGACAGCCUUGUCCUGCUCGACGACGGUGGCAGCGUUCUCCGUCUCGACGACGGCGGCGACAAACGCUAGCGCUCCUCGUCUUCCUCGACCUGCAAGGAGGAGCACCGGUACUGGAGAUGCGGCUGCUGCUGCCAGGUCUGCACGACGUGGAGGUCCUGCAGAUGCGGUUGCUGCUCUGGCGGACGAGGGGGAGUUCAAGCUGCCGGGCGACUUCAACUUCAUCUUCAUCUGCAGAUCAGGCGCAUACGAUUCGCUUGAUUCGGGUGGGAACAUUACAAUCAAGUGGGCACUGGAAUGAUCAUGUGAUGCACUGUUUGAAGUUAAGACUAAUUCAGUUCAGUCAGUUUGAAGCUAAGACAAAUUUCCUUGGCAUUUCACUAGAUGUGGUGUUAAUGGCCUGAAGAUUUUAUCAGAUUAUCCACCAUUCAUCAUGCAACCGGACUGGCAAAUACUGCUGAAUAUGUUCAGAAGCAGAAAUUGGAACAAAGGAAAACAUCACAUGCUCCGACCAGAUUAAUUUCCAACUUAGCUAGAUGACCAGAUUAAUUUCCAACUUAGCUAGAUGACCAGAUUAAUUUCCAACUUAGCUAGAUGCCUAGUUAUGGGAAUCGACCAGAUUAAUUUCCAACUCAGCUAGAUCCUUGCUAUGGAGACAGAGGAGUCGUAGGUUGGGCAUCGCCCCCUCCUCAAAUCCCAGGAGUACUCUAUGGAUUACAGAAGAAUUGAUUUGUAAGAUUGCCCACAAGUGAUACUGUGCAGAAAAUUGUGAAAUUAGUCUGACUUCUACUGUACAGAAGAAUUGAUUUGUAAGAUUGCACACAAGAAUUGAUCUGAGUUCUGCUGUUGUGCAAGGGGAGAGGCGAGGAGAACCUGCCUAGAAGCAACGUGCCGCGGCGGCGGGGACAGGUGGGCUGGGCGCGGCGAGGACCAAUCUGGGGCGGCGACGACCAAGCUGGGCGGGGGCGGCUACCAAAUAGGCACAGCGGCGGCGGCCAAGCGGGCGCGGCAGCAACCAAGCGGGCGCAGCGGAGGCCGAACUGGGCACCUGGGAUCGGGACCGAGUGCCUGCAGGCGGGGCCCGAGCGCUUGGACGAAGGGGAUGACGCGAGCUCCUGCAGGAGGAAGACGGCACGCUGGAGAAGGAAGACGGGCGAGCUCCUGUAGGAAGAAGACGACGCGAGCUCUGGAGGAGGAAGACGACUCAAAUUUCAAAUCGAGGGUAAAACUGUCCAUUUCCCCAUUUGUCGGCUGUGUCUGAAAAUUGUAAACGCUCUUAUAAAAGUUUACAGAGGGAGUACUUAAGAAAGUUUUACAAUGUCACUUGCCCAGUUUAACAAACAACGAAGGAACAAAAAGAAAAUGUUAACCAUCAGCCAUGAGGUACACCACGCUGAUUGCCACUAACUGAUGUAACAAGAACUUUUCAAGAAAACAGUUUUCUUGAACUAUGUCUAGAAACAAGACCU